AUUGAACGCUGGCGGCAGGCCUAACACAUGCAAGUCGAACGGUAGCACAGAGAGCUUGCUCUCGGGUGACGAGUGGCGGACGGGUGAGUAAUGUCUGGGAAACUGCCCGAUGGAGGGGGAUAACUACUGGAAACGGUAGCUAAUACCGCAUAACGUCGCAAGACCAAAGUGGGGGACCUUCGGGCCUCACACCAUCGGAUGUGCCCAGAUGGGAUUAGCUAGUAGGUGGGGUAAUGGCUCACCUAGGCGACGAUCCCUAGCUGGUCUGAGAGGAUGGCCAGCCACACUGGAACUGAGACACGGUCCAGACUCCUACGGGAGGCAGCAGUGGGGAAUAUUGCACAAUGGGCGUAAGCCUGAUGCAGCCAUGCCGCGUGUAUGAAGAAGGCCUUCGGGUUGUAAAGUACUUUCAGCGGGGAGGAAGGCGGUGAAGUUAAUAACUUCACCGAUUGACGUUACCCGCAGAAGAAGCACCGGCUAACUCCGUGCCAGCCGCCGCAGUAA
RNAcentral lists this ribosomal RNA (504 nucleotides) under uncultured bacterium. RNAcentral's name for it is "partial 16S ribosomal RNA". It matches the Rfam family "Bacterial small subunit ribosomal RNA", at positions 30 to 523 of the family's 1533-position model. The record is from RNAcentral.